AGUUCGAGGGAUAAGGAAGAAAGAGAUAAAGAAAUAGAACAGUUUGUGGGCCAAUGGGAGGUGACAUGGCCCAAAGUGGAACGGUGAUCACAAAAGGAUCGCACGCUCCGCACGCGACCGGCCCGAGCGUUUUCCAUUUUCUUGGCAGCCGUUCAUCAAGGAGUCAACGCCCUUCCCAUCGCCAGACACAGUGAUAGGCUGACAGCACUGGGCGGAGUCAAGGCCCUUCCCAUCGACAGUGAUAGACUGACAGCACCGGGCGCCCUUGUCCUACGGCUCCACACCCACCUCCCCCCGCCCUCCGCCGAGUCGCGCCUCUUCUCCUACCGGCCCGGCGGCGCUUGCGCCGAAGUCUCCCGCCGUUCCACGGCCGCGCGUUGCCCUGCCGGUUUCUUUGGAAGAGAAUGGCGGGAGGCAGUGAGGCUAGGGGCGGGGAGUGCGGCUACUACACGACGGACGACGCGCUCUCCCAGGUGGGCUUCGGGAGGUUCCAGGCGCUGGUGCUGGCCUACGCCGGCGUGGGCUGGACCGCGGAGGCCAUGGAGAUCAUGAUGCUGUCCUUCGUCGGCCCGUCCGUGAAGGACGAGUGGGGAAUCUCGGGCCAGCAGGAGGGGCUCAUCACCAGCGUCGUCUUCGCCGGGAUGAUCAUCGGGGGCUUCCUCGGGGGCGUCAUCUCGGACUCGUAUGGCAGAAGGAUUGGUUUUCUAUUCACCGCGGUUGUCACUGGCAUAUUUGGUUUUCUCAGUGCUUUGUCACCUAACUACAUGUGCCUAUUAACCCUCCGCUUUAUUGUCGGUAUGGGAUUGGGUGCUGGUCAUGUUCUUGGUACAUGGUUCCUAGAGUUUGUUCCUGCUGCAAACAGGGGUACUUGGGUGGUUGUCUUCCAUUGUACUUGGACUUUUGGAACAAUCCUUCAGGCUCUUAUUGCAUGGGCUAUCAUGCCAGUACUUGGAUGGAGGUGGUUGAUAGCGUUGUCUUCAACACCAUGUUUCAUUCUGCUUAUUUUCUAUGGUAUAACACCUGAAUCACCACGGUACCUCUGCUCAAGAGGUAGAACAGCUGAUGCUCAAUUUAUUUUGGAGAGAAUAGCAAUAAUGAACAACAUGGCUCUGCCCUCUGGCACCUUAAUAGUUGCCCCACAAAGAAGGUCUGAUGAUGUUGUUGAUGCGGAGACAAUAGUACCGCUGAUUCUUUCACAAGAUAGUGCUGCAACUGACGUUUGCAUGAGCUCCUCUAUAUCCAGAUCUAUUAAUGCAUUCCGUACACUUGUGUCACGAAGCCUGAUUAGAUCUACACUUCUUCUUUGGUUUGUCUACUUUGCCUUUUGUUUUGCUUACUAUGGUAUAGUAUUGCUAACAUCGGAACUAAGCAAUGGUGGAAGGAGAUGUGGACCUGUUGGAAUGCAUUUGUGGCAGCGAAAUGAUGCCAGACUCUACAGAGAUGUCCUGGUGACAAGUAUUGCGGGCUCACAGCUCAUUUGCAUGCACAGACACGUGUAUACAAUUAGAUAUCAAUGAGUGAUCUAAAAAAUGGUGGAUAUUCAAGGGGGUGGGAGAUAGAGUAUUGCUCUUGAUUUGGAAGCGUCUUCGCCCUAUACCUGUUUAAUCUCUGAAUGUUUGGAUUAAAAACUGGUUUCAGGAUUACUGGAACAAUACCAUUUCCUAAAUCAAUAAGAUUUAUUAAUUAAAUAGCUAAAGCUUUGGUUUAUUCCAUGACAGAAUUUCCUGGUCUGAUUUUGGCGGCUCUAUUUGUUGACAAAGUUGGUCGCAAACUGUCAAUGGGAGCGUUUGCUUUUCUGUGCCUUGUUUCCAUCGCACCACUUGCUGCACCUCUAGAAGAAGGUUUAGCAACCGUCCUUCUAUUCAGUGCCCGGACUUGUAUCACAGGAAGUUAUGCUGUUCUCUAUAUUUACGGCCCUGAGAUCUACCCUUCAUCAUGUCGGAACACCGGAGUGGGUGUCGCGACUUCUCUCGGCCGGAUAGGUGGCAUGAUUGCCCCACUCAUAGCUGU
This is an RNA transcript of Triticum aestivum (bread wheat), 2010 nucleotides long. It is a transcript of the gene named organic cation/carnitine transporter 7, with no coding region annotated. The transcript is spliced from 5 exons. NCBI's taxonomy places the organism in Eukaryota, Viridiplantae, Streptophyta, Magnoliopsida, Poales, Poaceae. The record is from RefSeq and is a predicted model, not a curated record.